RNAcentral lists this long non-coding RNA (4519 nucleotides) under Mytilus galloprovincialis (Mediterranean mussel). The record is from RNAcentral. Lineage: Eukaryota; Metazoa; Mollusca; Bivalvia; Mytilida; Mytilidae.
AUGUUGGAGAGCAUUGGGGAUCCACAAUUCCAAAAACGUUUCGUCAAAUACAACUAGAACAAAUCAACAAAAGAUAUUGGUUAAAUAAACAAUUUUAAUAUCGUUAACAUUAGCAUGUGUAAAAUCUAACAAUAAGUGUCAAAUAAUAUAAUAAUUGCACUUACUCCAUUCAUUCAUGUGAAAAUAUAUCUAACAAACAUACUCAUGUAAUUCAAUACUCUUGUAAUUCUGUUGCAUAAGUGUCAAUUGUGUAUUGAUUAUCUGAUGGAGGACGUUUUAGUUUUGUGAAAUGUCAGUAAAUUAGAUUUGACAGACAAUUAAUUUAGGGGAAAAGUGUCCCCUUUAAAAAAAGAUGUUCUAAGUGACUUGAGACUUCAUAUAAGCAAAAAGUUAUAAUUUCUAUUAACAUCAAGAAAAAAGUUGGAGUCACAGAAUAGUCACCAAAUAAUAUUUGUGUUGCUAAUAUCUUUUUAAGAAUUGAAUGAACAUCAAAAUAAGUAAAAGAUCAAUGAAUGUGGCCUCCGAUUGACAUCAACAUUAACCUAUUCAUUGUAAUGAGGAGAAAUUUGGUGCAAAUAAUUCUAUUACACUAUACCCUAAUUGUCAAUACUAGCUUAGGUAAUAAAAUAUGUAGUAAUGAAUGAAAGAAUACUCUUUUUUAUGUUUCCAGAAUUGAAACUAUUUGUUAACAAUUCAGAAGAAUUUUACUAACUAUUUAAGCACCACACCAUUUCAGAAAAUCGCAGUUGACAAAAUGUUGAAUUAAGUAUCAAAUACAUGUAGUUUGAAUUUGGUCAGACCAACUACCAAACACUGAGCAUAGAAGAUUAUCAAUCAUUCGGUGACAUCAUAAGCAAGAUUUUCAACAAAUAGACUGAAUAUUUUUUUGGUUAAUCUCUAUAUUAUUUUAAGCAUGUAAAAGUCAUAUAGAAAUAAAGCUUUUACAGAAUAUUGUUAUUAUUUUUUCAUUCCUGUAUACCCAUGAAAAGGGUUUAAUUUAACCUGAAACUUCAAUGUUUUCUUAAAAUACAUAGAUUCAAAUUUGUUCUAAACAUCAGAGAUAAAUUGUAAAUAGCCAGUUUAGUACCUUCUACUUUAAUUCUUUUACUAGAUAUAUCAAAAGAGCUUUAAUUUUGAACUCUAGGGGUUUUAGGAACAAAAAAAAACAUUCGAAUUCUGACAAAAUAGUCUUUUCAUUUUAAAUAUGUUGCAAUUGUCUAUGAUGCUUUUCAAAAAUAAAUGAAAUUGUGUUUUUUUUGUACUUAUUUUUUUUUUAAAUUUAUUUGCAUUUUGUGUUCACAAUAUUGGUAACCUAGACUUGAAAACAAGAUUACUGUGACCUGGUUAUAUAUAUUUAUGCAUAUUCACACAUACAUUUAUACCUUUCAUUUGUUCAUUAUAAAUUCUAUUUCAUGUAAUGUUUGUGUUCACAUGUGUAUUCCAUUUCUCUUGCAUAUUCAAGGAAUUUUUAACCAUCAUUUAUUGGAAGCAAGUAAUCAUCUUAAAUUGCUUUGACUAGACAUUUUUCAAAAUUUAUUUUCUAACUCUAUUCACUUUAAAAACUGUAGUUAAAAAAUGCUAUAUUCAAUUACAUUGUACUUUCUAUCUAAAGUUUUUUUAAACUAUAAACUUCAAAUUCUGAAUUUCACAUUUCACUACUGUUUAUAUUCUAGUGAACUCUAGUGAUGUUAAAAAUGUUAAAUGCUUAAACUAAGAUUAUGAACUAUACAUCUCACAGUGUCAUACAAUGAAAACAUUCAAACAUGAGACAAACUGAUUAUUUUUUCUCACUAACUAGUGUUAUAUGAAUGCAAUAAUUUAUAAUCUGAGACAGAGUUGAUUUUUUAACAUUAAUUUAAGAGGUUUAAGAAGCCUUAAAAUGAGAUUUGGCUGUGAAAAAAUCACAAAGUAUUUUUUUUUUUAAUUGUUUGAUUUUGUUUACCUUCUCCCCUAAAACAACAGUCUACCCUAAAAUCAAAUAUGUGAGACACAACUGUUUCAAAUUUGUUUGUUUUUAAGAUUAUUCCCUACUCUAAAAACUUUUUCUUGCCAAAAACAUUUAACUUAUGGUUUUGGCUACAUCAAAAAUCAUAUCUAUCUUAAUCAACCAUACAUGGCAAAGGUAACAUCAAACACAAAAAGAUAGUCCUUGCAAAAAAGUUUCUCUUCCUGACUAGAUUUUCCAAUUCUUUCAUAGUGUGCGCACUAUCUUAUUAAAUACAAAGACUAUACAUUGUUCUAUACUACUAAUAAUAAAUAUGUAUUUAUCACAGUAAAAUAUGUUUGUCAUGCUUUUGGUUAUAUACUUAAUAUCAGUCACAAUUAAAUACCAUAUGAAUCAAGUCAGGUUUUAGAUACAAAAGAAAUAUAUAUACAUAUUAUAUCCACGAAAUUAAUAUUGAAAUUAAGUUUUAAGACUUUUGUCAAUCAUUGGUUCUUUUUUUAUCAUACUGUAACAAACUGCUCAAUUUUAAACAAAAAAGUAGUUUUUAUCAUUAAACCAGCGUUUUAUCCCUUGAAAGCUCUAUUCCACCAAGUUUAGGAGCUACACAUAAACAUAUUAUAUUAAAAAAAUAACUGAAUACUUUUUAUUACAUUACAGUUAACACCAAUUUCAAGUUCAGGAUAUCACUCUGACUACCCUAAAAAUAAUUUUGCGUAUAUUCUUCACAUGAAAUUGCAAAUCAAUCACUUUGGAUGUGUUGUUAAAUAUUUUCCUUUGUGACACUAAAAAAUUGAAGGAAACAUUUCAUAUCCUUGGAGGAUUGGAGGAUUGACAAACUUGACAUUGCUGUAUAAAUUAUAAAUCAUGACUAAUCAGUAUAUUUUCGCGAGCGAUUUAUUUUCGCGACUUUCACGAGUAGAAAAAUAACGCGAAUAUAAAUCGUCGUGAAUAUCUAACACUUGGAUCUUUCCUUACUGAACUACAUCAUAUAAAUUAGAAAUUCGCGAAAUUAAGUAGCCGCGAAGUGGACUUUAAAUGGCAAUACGCGAAAUAAAGUAUCCGCGAAAAUAAGUUGGUUUACAGUACUACAGACUACUAUUUGGGCUAUUUCAUUUGAAUGGACAUGGGAGGGUUGAAAGGGAUUUCCAAAAUCUACUCGUCACAAAAAUACGUUAUUUCCCUUCCUACACUCCCAACAUUCAUAAUAAUAGAAUAGUCCAUAGCAUCACAUGUUUAGGGUGGGAUAAUCACAUGCACUUGAAUUUACAACCAAUCAGAAUUAACCUUUUAAUUUUCAACCUAUAAAAUAUUCUACUCUUAUAUGCAGAGUUUUUUCUUUUUACAUGUGAUCAGUUUUUACAAUUUACCCAUGCAACUGUGACACAGUCUUGGAAUCAUGGUGGAAUGAUAAAAUGACAUUAUUAUAAUUCAUAAUCAUACAAUCCACAUAUUCACUCAAGAAAUACCUUUUAAGUUUUGUAUAUUAGUUCAAAAAUUUUACACACUGUUAUCAUAUUAUCAUAUUUGUGACUACAUUUAUUAAGGAUAAGUUUUACAUUUGCCAUAACUGUUAUUUAAACAUUCACCCAUCUACUCUUCACAUAUAUCUUUCAACCAAGAAAAUAUCUUACAAAUGAACAAAUGAUAAAAAUCCAAUGUUGCAUGAUGUCUUAUUAAGCAGAAAAUGUAAUUAGCCCUCUUUGAUGUAAAAAAUCAGAAGUUCCAAUAUAAGAUAUAUUUUAGUGGACUGUACGUGGUCAUGGGUGCACAACCAUUUAUGAUGAAAGCCAUUUUAACGUUUUUUCUAAACUUUUAUACUUUAUUAAAAAUAACACAAUAUCUUUUAAACACAUUAACAAUGAUUCUGUUAUUAAUGAAGAUGAUUUAUUUAAUUUUUUUUAUUUCUUAACUUAAAUAUUUAAAACCCUAAAAUCUGCACAUGAAAACAAUGCAAAAACAAUGUUCAGAAAACUGACCAAGCAAUAAGCUGACAAAAAAAGAAGCUCCAAAAAAGACCUUCACCUUAAGUAUAUGAAGUAAAUGUUCCAGAAGUAAAACUUUGUGCCAACUAUAAUUUGUAAAAAAACAAAAAGCAGAGACCGCGAAUAUUUACAACAAAUUGACUAUUAUGAAUGUACAUGCACCUAAUGAAAAUAUAUUUUCCAUAUCUAUAUCAUGUUAACAUUUACACAUGCUGGUAUCCCAUGACAGUAACUGGUUUACUGCCUUGUUUAAACAAGGAACAGCAAAUUUAAACACUGAUACACAGUAAUUCUGAUUUCAGUUUGACAGACCUAUAGACAAUUUGUACUUCAAUUUGUGGUUCACCUGAACUUAUCGAAAACCACAAAAAUUGUUAAAAUAAAAUAAAUUAUGUGUCAAACAAACAAAAAAUAUAUUAAACAAAUUUAGUUUCACCAUAGCAAUAGAAUCUGAAUAAAUAUGUUUUCUGACACACAAAAAAACCCUGAAUUGCAGCAAUCAAUUCUUUGAUUGAUGUUUGCAAUCAGUUAUAAAAAAAAAUUUUGGUUCAUUUAUCUCAGCAAGAUGUAUCUAUAAUUCAUAAUUGCAUUC